GAUGAAGAACGUAGCGAAAUGCGAUAAGUAAUGUGAAUUGCAGAAUUCAGUGAAUCAUCGAAUCUUUGAACGCACCUUGCGCCCGCCAGUAUUCUGGCGGGCAUGCCUGUUCGAGCGUCAUUUCAACCAUCAAGCCCUGCUUGUGUUGGGGUCCUGCGGCUGCCCGCAGGCCCUGAAAACCAGUGGCGGGCUCGCUAGUCACACCGAGCGCAGUAGCACAUCUCGCUCAGGGCGUGCGGCGGGUUCUUGCCGUAAAACACCCCCUUUUUACCAAGGUUGACCUCGGAUCAGGUAGGAAUACCCGCUGAACUUAAGCAUAUCAAUAAGCGGAGGA
RNAcentral lists this unclassified non-coding RNA (334 nucleotides) under soil metagenome. RNAcentral's name for it is "partial contains 5.8S ribosomal RNA, internal transcribed spacer 2, and large subunit ribosomal RNA". The stretch from base 1 to 120 matches the Rfam family "5.8S ribosomal RNA", at positions 35 to 154 of the family's 154-position model. The record is from RNAcentral.